UCCAGAGGCCUCCUCAGAGAAGGGUCCUGUAUCAUGUGUAGUAAGCAGGAAUGUUCAGUGAACAUAACUAUACAAUGCAACUGCUUCACUAACUUAUGAACAGAAAUCAAGUUGUGUUUAAAAGAAGGAACUACCAGUACAUUGUGAAGGGUGAUGGAAGGAGUCAAGGGAAAGGAGCCAGUGCAAGUCACUUUCACUUUAUUGCCAUUUGGAAGAGUGACAAGAUAUGGCAGAGUUAAAGGUAUAAUGUUAAAAAGUAGUUGUUUAUCAUGGGUCAUGUGAUUAGAGGUAUCACUAACUUGUGAACAGAAAUCAAGUUGUGUUUAAAAAAAGGAACUAGCAGUACAUUGUGAAGGGUGAUGAAGGGAGUCAAGGCAAAGGAGCCAGUGCAAGUCACUUUCACUUUAUUGCCAUUUGGAAGAGUGACAAGAUAUGGCAGAGUUAAAGGUAUAAUGUUAAAAAGUAGUUGUUUAUCAUGGUCAUGUGAUUAGAGGCACCUGAAUCUAUAAUCCAGGUGACAGAAUUAAUGUGAGUAAGUAAGCAAAGUUUGGAAUCAGAAAUAGGGUUCUCAGUUAACAUAGUACCAACAAAGUUUGCAGCAUAUAUGGGAGGAGGAGUUUGAGUAGUGGAGUCCCCUAACUUGGUCUGGUGUAAUAAAUUCAUCAACUGGUCAUAAUCUUGUCUGCUCAACCCUGGUAUCACAGAACUCUGGCCAUCUAUUNNNNNNNNNNUUGGUCUGGUGUAAUAAGUUCAUCAACUGGUCAUAAUCAUGUCUGCUCAACCCUGGUAUCACAGAGCUUUGGCCAUCUAGUCUUGCAACAGAUUGAUGGCAGCAGGAGGAUUCCCUUGAGGAACAGACAACAGUCCAUCAGAAAUAGAAGUAUCCAGACCAGUACUCAGAUGAGCAGCAACAGGCCUCCUUCCCUUGUUAAAGGUGGCACUUUAUGGAUACCCAUGGAUCUUGAAGCACUUAUCAAUUAAGUGUCCAGAUUUUUUACAGUAUCUACAAAAUAAAGGUCCCCUGGCUUGGUCAAAAUUGAC
RNAcentral lists this long non-coding RNA (1041 nucleotides) under Nicotiana benthamiana. RNAcentral's name for it is "long non-coding RNA (NBEN_LNC034978)". The record is from RNAcentral. Lineage: Eukaryota; Viridiplantae; Streptophyta; Magnoliopsida; Solanales; Solanaceae.